RNAcentral lists this ribosomal RNA (427 nucleotides) under uncultured Photobacterium sp. RNAcentral's name for it is "bacterial SSU rRNA". It matches the Rfam family "Bacterial small subunit ribosomal RNA", at positions 353 to 772 of the family's 1533-position model. Lineage: Bacteria; Pseudomonadati; Pseudomonadota; Gammaproteobacteria; Vibrionales; Vibrionaceae. The record is from RNAcentral.
AGUGGGGAAUAUUGCACAAUGGGGGAAACCCUGAUGCAGCCAUGCCGCGUGUGUGAAGAAGGCCUUCGGGUUGUAAAGCACUUUCAGUCGUGAGGAAGGGUGUGCAGUUAAUAGCUGUACAUUUUGACGUUAGCGACAGAAGAAGCACCGGCUAACUCCGUGCCAGCAGCCGCGGUAAUACGGAGGGUGCGAGCGUUAAUCGGAAUUACUGGGCGUAAAGCGCAUGCAGGCGGUCUGUUAAGCAAGAUGUGAAAGCCCGGGGCUCAACCUCGGAACAGCAUUUUGAACUGGCAGACUAGAGUCUUGUAGAGGGGGGUAGAAUUUCAGGUGUAGCGGUGAAAUGCGUAGAGAUCUGAAGGAAUACCGGUGGCGAAGGCGGCCCCCUGGACAAAGACUGACGCUCAGAUGCGAAAGCGUGGGGAGCAAA